This 427-nucleotide ribosomal RNA is filed under the name uncultured Bacillus sp. RNAcentral describes it as "bacterial SSU rRNA". It matches the Rfam family "Bacterial small subunit ribosomal RNA", at positions 355 to 774 of the family's 1533-position model. Lineage: Bacteria; Bacillati; Bacillota; Bacilli; Caryophanales; Bacillaceae. The record is from RNAcentral.
UAGGGAAUCUUCCGCAAUGGACGAAAGUCUGACGGAGCAACGCCGCGUGAGUGAUGAAGGCUUUCGGGUCGUAAAACUCUGUUGUUAGGGAAGAACAAGUACGAGAGUAACUGCUCGUACCUUGGCGGUACCUAACCAGAAAGCCACGGCUAACUACGUGCCAGCAGCCGCGGUAAUACGGAGGUGGCAAGCGUUAUCCGGAAUUAUUGGGCGUAAAGCGCGCGCAGGCGGUUUCUUAAGUCUGAUGUGAAAGCCCACGGCUCAACCGUGGAGGGUCAUUGGAAACUGGGGAACUUGAGUGCAGAAGAGAAAAGCGGAAUUCCACGUGUAGCGGUGAAAUGCGUAGAGAUGUGGAGGAACACCAGUGGCGAAGGCGGCUUUUUGGUCUGUAACUGACGCUGAGGCGCGAAAGCGUGGGGAGCAAACA